CCAUUCCGAACACGAAGGUUAAGCUUUUAGAGGCUGAUGGUACUGCAUGGGAGACUGUGUGGGAGAGUAAGUGGUUGCCAGGU
RNAcentral lists this ribosomal RNA (83 nucleotides) under Sarcina ventriculi. Lineage: Bacteria; Bacillati; Bacillota; Clostridia; Eubacteriales; Clostridiaceae. The record is from RNAcentral.